ACAGAGGUCUCAAGCGUUGUUCGGAAUCACUGGGCGUAAAGGGUGCGUAGGCCGCACGGUAAGUCAGAGGUGAAAUCCCGGAGCUCAACUUCGGAAUUGCCCCCGAUACUGCCGUGCUUGAGGACUGGAGAGGAGAUUGGAAUUCACAGUGGAGCAGUGAAAUGCGUAGAUAUUGUGAGGAACACUAGUGGCGAAGGCGGCUCUCUGGGACGGUACUGACGCUGAGACGCGAAAGCGUGGGGAGCGAACAGGA
This 253-nucleotide ribosomal RNA is filed under the name uncultured prokaryote. Its description in RNAcentral is "partial 16S ribosomal RNA". It matches the Rfam family "Bacterial small subunit ribosomal RNA", at positions 525 to 777 of the family's 1533-position model. The record is from RNAcentral.